UACAUUUUCUAGAUUCAAUUGAAAGAAAUGUACUGAUAGUGAUUACAUGUUGUAAGAAGUGUAAUGGUAUUUUACAUUUGGAAAAUAUCACAUGUAAGAAAUGUAUUAUGGGAUAUCAGAUGUAAUAUGAGAAAAUCUUCAGUCCUGUUGUGAAGACGGUACGUAUGAUUCUAUCUCUUGCUACUCAAUUUGGGAGGAAUUUGCAACAACUUG
Molecule: unclassified non-coding RNA, 213 nt
Filed under: Hevea brasiliensis (rubber tree)
Lineage: Eukaryota; Viridiplantae; Streptophyta; Magnoliopsida; Malpighiales; Euphorbiaceae
Source: RNAcentral